UUCAAAGCCUUACUCUUUCCCUUUUCUAUGUUUGUGCUUCUUCUUCUGCCGUAAUUCAUCUCUCUGUAUCUCUCUCUCUCAGAAUCCAAAUUCACACUUAGAAAUUCCGACUAUGAGCGAGCAUGUUACUGGUGGGUUCGAGAUCGGCGAUGAUUGGAUCUGGCCUUUCUAAGAAGGCGACAACUGGUACAGCCGGUCUCUUGUUCCCCAUUGGCCGAUUAGAUCGAUUUCGUAAGAAGGACGAGUACGCCGAACGUGUUGGUGUCUUUGCUUGGAUUUACUUAGCCGCCGAGUAAAUUAGAUCUGUGUAAGUUAUGGAAUUGACUAGAAACACAGAGAGGGAUAAUAAGAAGACUAUGAUUGUAUCACUUCACUUUCAGCUUGCGGUAAGAAACGAUGGGAAGCUGUGUGAGUUAGUUGGUGAUGUGACGAUUUCUAAUGGAGGUGUUGUUGUUCUUAUUCUCGUUCUUGUUUUUUUUUUUUGUUGAAGAAAAUGGAUAAUAAAGCCAGAAAACCCCUUCAUCUCAAGUAAGCUUCUUUCUUUGAUUUUCUUCGUUUCGUUUCCUUUCGUUUCUAAUUGUAAGUCUUCUUUGGUUCAUUAUACAUUUCUUUGUUCUGA
This is a non-coding RNA of Camelina sativa (false flax), 619 nucleotides long. NCBI's taxonomy places the organism in Eukaryota, Viridiplantae, Streptophyta, Magnoliopsida, Brassicales, Brassicaceae. The record is from RefSeq and is a predicted model, not a curated record.